GAUGAACGCUGGCGGCGUGCCUAAUACAUGCAAGUCGAGCGAACAGACGAGGAGCUUGCUCCUCUGACGUUAGCGGCGGACGGGUGAGUAACACGUGGAUAACCUACCUAUAAGACUGGGAUAACUUCGGGAAACCGGAGCUAAUACCGGAUAAUAUAUUGAACCGCAUGGUUCAAUAGUGAAAGACGGUUUUGCUGUCACUUAUCGAUGGAUCCGCGCCGCAUUAGCUAGUUGGUAAGGUAACGGCUUACCAAGGCAACGAUGCGUAGCCGACCUGAGAGGGCGAUCGGCCACACUGGAACUGAGACACGGUCCAGACUCCUACGGGAGGCAGCAGUAGGGAAUCUUCCGCAAUGGGCGAAAGCCUGACGGAGCAACGCCGCGUGAGUGAUGAAGGUCUUCGGAUCGUAAAACUCUGUUAUUAGGGAAGAACAAAUGUGUAAGUAACUAUGCACGUCUUGACGGUACCUAAUCAGAAAGCCACGGCUAACUACGUG
RNAcentral lists this ribosomal RNA (497 nucleotides) under uncultured bacterium. RNAcentral describes it as "partial 16S ribosomal RNA". It matches the Rfam family "Bacterial small subunit ribosomal RNA", at positions 28 to 507 of the family's 1533-position model. The record is from RNAcentral.